This 1346-nucleotide ribosomal RNA is filed under the name uncultured bacterium. Its description in RNAcentral is "bacterial SSU rRNA". It matches the Rfam family "Bacterial small subunit ribosomal RNA", at positions 28 to 1381 of the family's 1533-position model. The record is from RNAcentral.
GACGAACGCUGGCGGCGUGCUUAACACAUGCAAGUCGAACGGAAAGGCCCUGCUUUUGUGGGGUGCUCGAGUGGCGAACGGGUGAGUAACACGUGAGUAACCUGCCCUUGACUUUGGGAUAACUUCAGGAAACUGGGGCUAAUACCGGAUAGGAGCUCCUGCUGCAUGGUGGGGGUUGGAAAGUUUCGGCGGUUGGGGAUGGACUCGCGGCUUAUCAGCUUGUUGGUGGGGUAGUGGCUUACCAAGGCUUUGACGGGUAGCCGGCCUGAGAGGGUGACCGGCCACAUUGGGACUGAGAUACGGCCCAGACUCCUACGGGAGGCAGCAGUGGGGAAUAUUGCACAAUGGGCGGAAGCCUGAUGCAGCAACGCCGCGUGCGGGAUGACGGCCUUCGGGUUGUAAACCGCUUUCGCCUGUGACGAAGCGUGAGUGAAGGUAAUGGGUAAAGAAGCACCGGCUAACUACGUGCCAGCAGCCGCGGUGAUACGUAGGGUGCGAGCGUUGUCCGGAUUUAUUGGGCGUAAAGGGCUCGUAGGUGGUUGAUCGCGUCGGAAGUGUAAUCUUGGGGCUUAACCCUGAGCGUGCUUUCGAUACGGGUUGACUUGAGGAAGGUAGGGGAGAAUGGAAUUCCUGGUGGAGCGGUGGAAUGCGCAGAUAUCAGGAGGAACACCAGUGGCGAAGGCGGUUCUCUGGGCCUUUCCUGACGCUGAGGAGCGAAAGCGUGGGGAGCGAACAGGCUUAGAUACCCUGGUAGUCCACGCUGUAAACGGUGGGUACUAGGUGUGGGGUCCAUUCCACGGGUUCCGUGCCGUAGCUAACGCUUUAAGUACCCCGCCUGGGGAGUACGGCCGCAAGGCUAAAACUCAAAGGAAUUGACGGGGCCCCGCACAAGCGGCGGAGCAUGCGGAUUAAUUCGAUGCAACGCGUAGAACCUUACCUGGGUUUGACAUGGAUCGGGAGCGCUCAGAGAUGGGUGUGCCUCUUUUGGGGUCGGUUCACAGGUGGUGCAUGGCUGUCGUCAGCUCGUGUCGUGAGAUGUUGGGUUAAGUCCCGCAACGAGCGCAACCCUUGUUCACUGUUGCCAGCACGUUAUGGUGGGGACUCAGUGGAGACCGCCGGGGUCAACUCGGAGGAAGGUGGGGAUGACGUCAAGUCAUCAUGCCCCUUAUGUCCAGGGCUUCACGCAUGCUACAAUGGCUGGUACAGAGAGUGGCGAGCCUGUGAGGGUGAGCGAAUCUCGGAAAGCCGGUCUCAGUUCGGAUUGGGGUCUGCAACUCGACCUCAUGAAGUCGGAGUCGCUAGUAAUCGCAGAUCAGCAACGCUGCGGUGAAUACGUUCCCGGGGCU